RNAcentral lists this long non-coding RNA (939 nucleotides) under Mustela putorius furo (domestic ferret). RNAcentral describes it as "lncRNA (ENSMPUG00000025752.1)". The record is from RNAcentral. Lineage: Eukaryota; Metazoa; Chordata; Mammalia; Carnivora; Mustelidae.
UCAGUCUGUCCAGACAGAGCUUGGAUUUCUGCACUUUGUCAGGUGAUUCUCAUAUAGAUAUGUCAAGCCCAUACACUGGGAAAGACCUCUUUCAGACAUUUACCACAUGUUUAAACAAAAGAGCUUUUUCUCAAAUUUGCAUACAAGCACCUAUAAUUGAUGUAAGGGUAAAAUCAGGCCGGUAGUUGAGAAAGGCAGAAGGUAACAGGAGGACAGAGAGAUAAAGAGGAGAAAGAGUAAGGAAAUAAAUAAAACCAACUAUAUUUGUGCUCUUACUUCAUGUUCCUGUUUAGUUAAAUUGGCUAGAAGAAGCCAGCAUACACAACCUGUAAAGUGAGGUGGUGGAAGUUUAGAAAAGGGAGAUUCGUGUGGGCUGUGGAAGUCUGGAACAAGAAGACGAGCCGAGAAAUAGGGAUGUCUGUGAGAAAAGGACAUAGAGUUCUCGUGAGUCAUGACAUCCGGGUCUUGAGAUCCAACCCUGCAUGGAGCAACAUGAUCAGCAUGGAGUCUGCGUGGCCCUUUCCCUCUGCUCCCCCCACCAUUCUCUCUUUCUCUCAUAAAUAAAUAAAUCUUACAAAAAAUACUGCAAUCAUUUUUACAAUGAAGUGAUUUGCUACAUCUAUAUUGCUUCAUCAUCUAAGUGUAUAAUUUAAACAAAAAAUAAACAAUACAAUGUGUUUAUAAUGAAAAGCCACUAGCCCUGGUCGCAUCCCUCUACACCAACUCUCCCACUCCUGAACUUACAUCUCCUUCUGCAAACACACAAGCAAGCUUAUUAAACCAUUUUCAUCUGGCAUUUUCCUAGUUGUUAACUUCAUAUAUCUAAAUAAUAUACUAAGUCUCUCUUUCUUGAUUUAUCUACUUUGGAAAUAGUGCACUGACUCUCCAUGAUAAUGGAAAUUUAAAUCAUUUCCACCCUACCCUGCCUCCAUUCUCCCC